RNAcentral lists this long non-coding RNA (1083 nucleotides) under Heterocephalus glaber (naked mole-rat). Its description in RNAcentral is "lncRNA (ENSHGLG00000042073.1)". The record is from RNAcentral. Lineage: Eukaryota; Metazoa; Chordata; Mammalia; Rodentia; Bathyergidae.
GAUUGCUGGAAAGAAGCCAGAGAACAUUCUUAGGAAGAAAGCAACCCGAUGGUGCUAACAUGCAGGAUCAAGGUGCAUGGGUACACAUUAACCGCCAAGGGCACAGGGCUCUCCCCCUCCACAUGUGUGCUGCAAAAGUCCUGGAACGCUCAAUGUCAAAAUACACCUGACACUGGACUCUUAAAUCCAAUCUGCAGGUGAAGGCAACCCAGGCACCACUCAAGUUCUGAUGAGCCAGCGGAGAUCAUGUCUUCUGAAAGGUGUUUCAAUGACUUCAGGCCCACCUGGAUAAUGCAGGACAAUCUUCCCACCUCAAGGGUCUUCCCUCUCCCCAACACCAUGUCUGAAGAAGUUACACAAAUGAGAAAAAGUGGCUGCUCACCUUAGGCCCUUUAGGACCUCACCAUCCAAAUCAGUAACCACACUCGAAGACCACCCUUCCAGACUGUCCCUGAGACUUCUUUCCAGACUCCACUGUUUAUUUGUUUGCAAAAUGCUUCUUUCAUGUGUAAGCAGGACAAAGUAGAGGUCACAAUGACAAAGUUCUGGAGAAGACCUGAAUACCUGAUAACCCCUUUAAAUAACAUUCUUGUGACCUGUGUCUUCCUCACAGAAAUUUUCUAGUUUUCAGCAACUUCUUCUGUUCCAUUUGUCCCCAAACUUCUCACUCCCCUGGCCAAGCCCAAGAACAAUGCUGAUCAGAUUACAGUCUCUCCAUGUUCAUAGCGAAGUUCAAAGUAUAAUGGCCUGCAUGGAAAGUGAUUGCGCAACAAGCUGACCGACAGACAUGUUCUACAAUGGACACUCUGCCACCCAUUCACUGAAAUCAGAGUGACCGCAGGACUAUUUGGAACAAAAGUGAGCCACACUGUGUAUUUACUUUUUUUUUUUGGUACAAAUUAUCUCUCUCUCUUUUUUUUAAGGAGACAUAACCACAGAUUUUACAGAAUUUAAAAGGAUAUAGAAAGCAUAUUACAAAAAUCUUUUUUUAAAUAAAUUUGAUAACUUCUAAGAAGUACCUUGGAAGACAAAUUAAUGAAACUAACUCUGGAGGAAAUAUAAAAUUUGAAUAGCACCUAUUAA